CUCCCGCCAGCUCUCAUCCGCCCUUUCCUUCGCGGCCUCUGUCGAGGCUGCUGUGUCCUGCGGAGCUCCGAGCACAUGCUGUGCCCAGCUGCUGGUUUCAGAAGAUGGCUGCCCUGGAUGACUUGAAAGUAAGGUGGUCUUUGGCCCCCUGAAGGAAGUAAUGACUCACAAAAGUACAAGUAUAGUUCUGGGUAAGUGUCUAUUCUAGCGUUGACUGCCUCUGCCAGGAGCACUACUUGGUACACAUCAGGAAACAAUUGGAAAACAAAUUGACUCUUGGCAGUGACUGUUGAACUCUGGUAUUUUUGUUUGAAGGUAUAAAGGAUUUUGGUGUCUGUCAUUCCAACUAGGGAAUGAUAUAUAGUUAUUGUGAAUCCCGGGAAGCAAAAGGAAUGUUUUUUGACUAAGACUAAGAUGAACUGAAAGCACACAUG
RNAcentral lists this long non-coding RNA (434 nucleotides) under Meriones unguiculatus (Mongolian gerbil). Its description in RNAcentral is "lncRNA (ENSMUGG00000017345.1)". Lineage: Eukaryota; Metazoa; Chordata; Mammalia; Rodentia; Muridae. The record is from RNAcentral.